UUGAUCAUGACUCUCAGUUGACCCCUAUUGAUUUUCAGGUCACUAUAUCAAAGGUCAAGGUCAUGGUGACCUGAAAUAGUAAAAUGGUUUCCGGAUGAUAACUCAAGAACGCUAAUGGCUACAAUCAUGAAACUUCAUAGGUACAUUGAUCAUGACUUGCAGAUGACCCCUAUUGAUUUUGAGGUCACUAGGUCAAAGGUCAAGGUCACGGUGACCCAAAAUAGUAAAAUGGUUUCCGGAUGAUAACUCAAGAACGCUUAGGCCUAGGAUCAUGAAACUUGAUAGGUAGAUUGAUCAUGACUCGCAGAUGACCCCUAUUGAUUUUCAGGUCACUAGGUCAAAGGUCAAGGUCACGGUGACCCGAAAUAGUAAAAUGGUUUCCGGAUGAUAACUCAAGAACGCUUAGCCCUAGGAUCAUGAAACUUGAUAGGUAGAUUGAUCAUGACUCGCAAAUGACCCCUAUUGAUUUUCAGGUCACUGGGUCAAAGGUCAAGGUCACAGUGACCCGAAAUAGUAAAAUGGUUUCCGGAUGAUAACUCAAGAAUGCUUAGGCCUAGGAUCAUGAAACUUUAUAGGUAGAUUGAUCAGGACUCGCAGAUGACCCCUAUUGAUUUUGAGGUCACUAGGUCAAAGGUCAAGGUCACAGUGACCCGAAAUAGUAAAAUGGUUUCCGGAUGAUAACUCAAGAACGCUUAGGCCUAGGAUCAUGAAACUUGAUAGGUAGAUUGAUCAGGACUCGCAGAUGACCCCUAUUGAUUUUCAGGUCACUAUGUCAAAGGUCAAGGUCACGAUGACCGGAAAUAGUAAAAUGGUUUCUGGAUGAUAACUGAAGAACGCUUAUUCCUAGGAUCAUGAAACUUGAUAGGUA
Long non-coding RNA from Dreissena polymorpha, 868 nucleotides. RefSeq lists it as uncharacterized. The record is from RefSeq and is a predicted model, not a curated record. The transcript is spliced from 3 exons. NCBI's taxonomy places the organism in Eukaryota, Metazoa, Mollusca, Bivalvia, Myida, Dreissenidae.